RNAcentral lists this ribosomal RNA (1070 nucleotides) under Bacillus sp. (in: firmicutes). Its description in RNAcentral is "bacterial SSU rRNA". It matches the Rfam family "Bacterial small subunit ribosomal RNA", at positions 426 to 1473 of the family's 1533-position model. The record is from RNAcentral. Lineage: Bacteria; Bacillati; Bacillota; Bacilli; Caryophanales; Bacillaceae.
CCAAGUGCUUAGUUGAAUUAAGCUGGGCACCUUGGACGGGUACCUUAACCCAGAAAAGCCCACGGGCUAACUUACGUGCCCAGNCAGCCGGCGGUUAAUACGGUAGGGUGGCCAAGCGGUUUUUCCGGAAAUUUAUUGGGGCGUAAAGCGGCGCGCAGGUGGUUUUCUUAAGUUCUGAUUUGAAAAGCCCCACGGGUUCAACCGGGGGAGGGUCAUUGGAAACUGGGAAGACUUGAAGUGCAGAAGGAGGAAAAGUGGAAUUUCCAUGGGUAGCGGUUGAAUUGCGUANAGNUANGGAGGACCACCANUGGGGAGGGGGACUUUUUUGUUCGGUAACNGCCAUUGAGGCGGGAAAGCGUGGGGAGCCAACCAGGAUUGGUUACCUUGUUAGUCCAGGCGGUAAAGGAUGAUUGUUAAGUGUUGGAGGGUUUCCGCCUUUUAGUGNGGAAGUUAAGCCAUUAANCAUUCGCCUUGGGGAGUACGGCGGCAGGGUUGAAANUCAAAGGAAUGGAGGGGGGCCGGCCCAAGCGGUGGACCAUGUGGUUUAAUUGGAAGCAACGGGAAGACCCUUACCAGUUUUUGCCUUCUUCUGCCACCCUUAGAGAUAGGGUUUUUCUUUCGGGAGCAGAGUGCCAGUUGGUCCAUGGUGGUGUUCAGCUGGUGUCGUGGGAUGUUGGGUUAAGUCCGGCAACGAGCGCAACCUUUGUUUUUAGUUCCCUUCAUUAAGUUGGCCAUUUUAAGGUGACUGCCGGUGCCAACCCGGAGGAAGGUGGGGAGGAGGUCAAAUCAUCAUGCCCUUUAUGCCUUGGGUUCCCCACGUGUUCCAAUGGACGGUCCAAAGAGCUGCAGGACCGGGAGGUGGAGUUAAUUUCAUAAACCCGUUUUCAGUUCGGAUGUUAGGUUGCAAUUGGCUUCCAGGAAGCUGGAAUGGUUGGUAAUGGGGGAUCACCAGGCGGCGGUGAAUAGGUUCCGGGCCUUGGUCCACACCGCCGGUCCCACCAGGAGAGUUGGUACCACCGGAGGUCGGUGGGGUAACCUUUUGGAGCCAGCCGCCUAAGGGGACAGAGGGG